AGAAGACAUAGUGCUAACUUUGCCGGUAAUUCUUCCUAGACAUAUACGUGCAAGUAUCUGCACCGCAGUGUAAAUGCCCUUGAUCGCCUUGUUAAGGCAAAAGGAGUGGGCACCAGGCACACCUAAGUCGUAGCCCAAGACGCCUUGCUUAGCCACACCCCCAUGGGUACUCAGCAGUAACUAACAUUAAGCAGUAAGUGCAAACUUGACUUAUAGCGACACCUAGGGUUGGUAAAUCUUGUGCCAGCCACCGCGGUCACACAAGAGACCCAAAUUAACUGUAAUAUGGUGUAAAGAGUGGUAACAUGUUAUCAAGGCAACUAAGAUCAAAAUGUACCUGUGCUCUCAUAAGCCUAAGAUGCACCUGAAGCCACCCUCCAGAGGAUUUUAGCAUCCACAAUUAAUUGAACCUUACAAAAGCUAAGACACAAACUGGGAUUACAUACCCCACUAUGGCUACCCCUAAAUCUUGAUACUUUACUGAAGUAUCCGCCUGAGAACUAUGAGCGCAAACUCUUAAAACUCUAAGGACUUGACGGCACCCCAAACCCACAUAGAGGAACCUGUUCUAGAAUUGCUAACCCACAAUCCACCCAACUGUCCCUCACCAAGACAGACUACAUACUGCCAUCGCCAGCUUACCUCUCCUUAGAGCAUAACAGUGAAAAUAAUAGCCUCAACCCCACUAACAAGACAGGUCAAGAUAUAGCUUAUGAGACGGAAGAAAUGGGCUACGUUUUCUAAAACAGAAAACCUACAGAAAGAGAUGUGAAAUCAUCCCUAGAAGGCGGAUUAGCAGUAAAGCAGGACAAUAGAGCCCCCUUAAAUUGGCCUUGGGGCAUGUACGUACUGCCCGCCACUCUCGUCACAAGCUAUAAACUCCUAUAGCUAAUGUGCCCAUCAGCUGAAGAUGAAGUAAGUUGUAACAAGGUAAGUGCACUGGAAGGCGCACUUAGCAUACCAAGACA
This 968-nucleotide non-coding RNA is filed under the name Cathartes aura (turkey vulture). Lineage: Eukaryota; Metazoa; Chordata; Aves; Accipitriformes; Cathartidae. The record is from Rfam by way of RNAcentral.